Molecule: ribosomal RNA, 249 nt
Filed under: uncultured bacterium
Lineage: Bacteria
Description: partial 16S ribosomal RNA
Rfam family: Bacterial small subunit ribosomal RNA
Source: RNAcentral
UUUGAUGGCGACCGGCGCACGGGUGAGUAACACGUAUCCAACCUGCCGAUGACUCGGGGAUAGCCUUUCGAAAGAAAGAUUAAUACCCGAUGGCAUAGUUCUUCCGCAUGGUAGAACUAUUAAAGAAUUUCGGUCAUCGAUGGGGAUGCGUUCCAUUAGGUUGUCGGCGGGGUAACGGCCCACCAAGCCUUCGAUGGAUAGGGGUUCUGAGAGGAAGGUCCCCCACAUUGGAACUGAGACACGGUCCAA